UGGUGUCCUCAAAUUGAAGCCAAGGAAG
Molecule: non-coding RNA, 28 nt
Filed under: Mus musculus (house mouse)
Lineage: Eukaryota; Metazoa; Chordata; Mammalia; Rodentia; Muridae
Source: RNAcentral